Molecule: ribosomal RNA, 253 nt
Filed under: uncultured bacterium
Lineage: Bacteria
Description: partial 16S ribosomal RNA
Rfam family: Bacterial small subunit ribosomal RNA
Source: RNAcentral
UACGUAGGGAGCGAGCGUUGUCCGGAAUUAUUGGGCGUAAAGAGCGUGUAGGCGGUUCGGUAAGUCUGUUGUGAAAUCUUGGGGCUCAACCCCGAGCGUGCAACGGAUACUGCCGGGCUAGAGGGUGGUAGAGGCAAGUGGAAUUCCGAGUGUAGCGGUGAAAUGCGCAGAUAUUCGGAGGAACACCAGUAGCGAAGGCGGCUUGCUGGGCCACACCUGACGCUGAGACGCGAAAGCUAGGGGAGCGAACAGG